This 497-nucleotide ribosomal RNA is filed under the name uncultured bacterium. RNAcentral's name for it is "partial 16S ribosomal RNA". It matches the Rfam family "Bacterial small subunit ribosomal RNA", at positions 28 to 507 of the family's 1533-position model. The record is from RNAcentral.
GAUGAACGCUGGCGGCGUGCCUAAUACAUGCAAGUCGAGCGAAAAGACGAGGAGCUUGCGCCUCUGACGUUAGCGGCGGACGGGUGAGUAACACGUGGAUAACCUACCUAUAAGACUGGGAUAACUUCGGGAAACCGGAGCUAAUACCGGAUAAUAUAUUGAACCGCAUGGUUCAAUAGUGAGAGACGGUUUUGCUGGAACUUAUAGAUGGAUCCGCGCCGCAUUAGCUAGUUGGUAGGGAAACGGCUUACCACGGCAACGAUGCGUAGCCGACCGGUGAGGGGGAUCGCCGACCCUGGAGCGUGGCCGCGGUCCUUGCUCCUACGGGAGGCAGCAGUCUGCUAUCUUCGGCAGUGGUCGAAAGCCUUACGCAGCAGCGCCGCGUGAGUUAUGAAGGUCUUCGGAUCGUAAUACUCUGUUUCUAGUGAAGAACAAAUGUGUAAUUUACUAUGCACGUCUUGACGGUACCUAAUCAGAAAGCCACGGCUAACUACGUG